UGAGGAAUAUUGCCCAAUGGACGCAAGUCUGAGGCAGCAACGCCGCGUGGAGGAUGAAGGUCUUUGGAUUGUAAACUCCUUUUUUCAGGGAAGAGUGAGGACGGUACCUGAAGAAUAAGUCACGGCUAACUACGUGCCAGCAGCCGCGGUAAUACGUAGGUGGCAAGCGUUAUCCGGAAUUACUGGGCGUAAAGCGCACGCAGGCGGCUCUUUAAGUUUGACGUGAAAGCUCCCGGCUUAACUGGGAGAGGUCGUUGAAAAACUGGAGGGCUUGAGGCAAUGAGAGGGGUGUAGAAUUCCCGGUGUAGUGGUGGAAUGCGUAGAUAUCGGGAGGAAUACCAGUGGCGAAAGCGGCACCCUAGCGUUGUUCUGACGCUCAUGUGCGAAAAGCGUGGGGAGCGAACGGGAUUAGAUACCCCGGUAGUCCACGCUGUAAACGAUGAACACUAGGUGUAGGUGGUGUGAAAGCUAUCUGUGCCGAAGCCAACGCGUUAAGUGUUCCGCCUGGGG
Molecule: ribosomal RNA, 510 nt
Filed under: uncultured Chloroflexota bacterium
Lineage: Bacteria; Bacillati; Chloroflexota
Description: bacterial SSU rRNA
Rfam family: Bacterial small subunit ribosomal RNA
Source: RNAcentral